RNAcentral lists this transfer RNA (72 nucleotides) under Phrynosoma platyrhinos (Desert horned lizard). RNAcentral describes it as "tRNA-OTHER". The record is from RNAcentral. Lineage: Eukaryota; Metazoa; Chordata; Lepidosauria; Squamata; Phrynosomatidae.
GCCAGUCUGGUGUAUUGGUUUGAGUGUAGGACUACAACUCUGGAGUUCAGGGUUCGAUUCCCCAGUUUGGUA